AUUUGCCGCGAGCAGUUUGUCGCUCUCCACAGGGAACCCAUCCUCGAGGAACUUCAAAACCAUUUCGAGAAGAAUUACGCCAAUUUGAAGCUUAAUCGUCCGUUGAAAUCGAAAAAUUCGAAAGUGGAAAGAACGCGCGUAUCAUUGGAUGGCAGACCAGAACUUGGUGAUUUUGACAUCAACGAAGUCCUGCACUCCACUUACUUUUUCUGUUGAUCUGCAAAAGAAUCGAAGGUCUUGAUAAGUAUGACAAAAGAGUCAGUUCGCGUUAGGAAAGGAUCAGUUUGGCGUAGGUUUAUUUGAAAUUAAUCGACACUUAUGGAUGUCAGCUAACGCAUCUGGAAAAGAAAGGCACCGUCCUUAGAGCUUGACGAAAUUUCUACGUGAAGAAACAUUAUCCCUUGGUAUGCUGCAUCUUAUUUCUUUUAGUUCUUGGGGAACAGUAAAUUAACGAUAUCACCAUGAAAACCGCGAUUUUACAGUUCCUCAAACAGUCGCCAAGGCAACUAAACUAAAAAAAGACGAAAAAUUGUAAAUUUUAAUUCAUUGCAAUAAAAUGAAGAUUUUAACUA
Molecule: long non-coding RNA, 572 nt
Organism: Stylophora pistillata
Lineage: Eukaryota; Metazoa; Cnidaria; Anthozoa; Scleractinia; Pocilloporidae
Source: RefSeq, a predicted model, not a curated record